GCACAUGUAACGACAGAAACACUCAGCAGGGAAAUUCAAAACCCUCAUGGAGAUAGCUUCAUAGAUGGGAAAUACCGUCCGUAAGGACGGCGGAGACGAUGUGCCCGCCGGAUCUCAGAGUGGAGACGAUGAUCCCCUGGGCGCGAACGGAGGAACGUAAUCUUCUUUCUCUCAGUCCAGCGAGAGAGCCAUCCCAGAUCCCGGCGUCGCCCGCCGCCGACCAGGUGAAGGGAACCCCGUGGCCGGUUUUUUUAGUACUGCCACGUCAGGGGGGGCCCACAUCAACACGUCAGCAGUAAAAUUUAACGUGAAAGUACGUC
This 320-nucleotide long non-coding RNA is filed under the name Spirodela polyrhiza (greater duckweed). RNAcentral's name for it is "long non-coding RNA (SPOL_LNC001558)". Lineage: Eukaryota; Viridiplantae; Streptophyta; Magnoliopsida; Alismatales; Araceae. The record is from RNAcentral.